UUACAUGGCCGGCAGUGAGGAUGGUGUCAAAUCUCAUCAGUCAUCUACAACCACUUUCUCUGACCCUUUCUGCAUCAUUGAAUUUGACUCCCUUUCUUCCCAUACUCUCCUUAGAGGACCUAAGAGGAAAUGUGCAUGGGCAGACAAAACAGAAAACUAAAGGAGGGAAGAUAAGUGGGUUCUUGGCUUCCGGAAGGAUUCUGACCUACUUCACUUGCCUUCAAAUUCUGUGUGAAUUUAUUUCAGAAGCUACAGGGAAGAGCUAAGAACUCCUGUUUUCCUUGGAGAAGGGAAGAAACAAAUGCCAGAUUAAAACUCAGAGGAAACUCUGGAAAUUAUAAGCGAGGCUGCUACUAUAUAAUGACCAAGUCGCCUUGGUAUGUCUUGUGAGCUAAAAUUCCAUUUCACUUUUAUCAUAUAUAAAACCAGGAUUAUAGCUCCAGGAGGAGCUACAAUCUGUGUUCUCUUUGGUCUAUCUGAACAUCCCAAAUAGUAUCACAGUCUACCUGAAGAAGUGCUGCUGAAAUAGACUGACAAUGCUUCAAUUAUUUUGGCUGCAGGCAAAGACAAAAUAAGUCUCAGGAGUUCUCCAAAAGCUCAAAAAGUUCUCUGUAAACUAUGCUGUUAUCAAAUGGAAACUACAAGAACGCGACCAACACCACAGGAGGAGAGAUUUCCCUGGGCUUUGCUCUGGCUAUGAAAGAGUUUCCAAAUAUACAAUGAAAAGUCAGUGGAACCUGACAGGCGCCCAAUGUGGAGCACAGGGGUUCAGACACACAACCCCUCCAGCUCCUCUCCCGACGGCUUCCCACCCACUGAGCACUGGCCAAACCCUGGUUAAGCGAGCACUGACCUUCCUGUUUAUCUGAUAAUCCACACAGUGUAGAUGGGAAAAAAUUGAAAGAUAGAAAGGAGGAAGCAUAAAAAAAAUCAUUUCCUCAAUGUUAGUAAAAACAUAAAUUGGUUACAUGACAAACAUGAGGUGGUGACUAUGUUAAUGGUACAAUGGCAAAGUUAUUACAAUCUUUGGAAGAAAAAAAAAAUCCCAUUUCUUCACAACUUUCCAACAUUUUAAAAUCCAAGCCCAGGCUUGAAUCACUGCUUUAUGAGUCCAAGAAGAAAGCAUUUGGAGAAGUGCUACACAUGCUCAACUGAACUUCCUGUCAAAUUGUUCUCACUCGUUUGGGCACAAGUCUGCUUAAGCCAUCUCUCAUUAACAUUUACUCUUGCCCGAAGCCCUCUACGCCCCCAACCCCUGCUAAUCUUCCACAAGCAAGCUGAUCACACUGGGAUCUCCUUUUCCCAGACACGUUUGAUUCUCACUUUCUCCUGAACCUAGAAAUGUGCUUCCCACCAAAGCAUGCCAGGCACUAACUCGUCCCUACUGAAAGGGGCUGUUAAAAGCUCAUCUUCUUUCCAGAUGGUAGUGAGGUGUGAGGUGAUCCUUUCUCUUUCUUUUUUUUUUUUUUUUACUUUUAGCUACCCCUCAAUUCUGGUGUUCAGUAACAAUGUAUUCCACUUAAAAGAGAGAAAUCAUAUUAAUUAUUCUAAGAUAUAAACACUUAAUUUUAUUCAUGCUCUUGAAUUACUUUCCUUUCUACCGCAUGUUUGUGUAGCUGUUAUAUGAGUCCUUUCUACUGAUGUAGCUGUCAUUCCUUCAACUCAGUUCUUGCCAAACACUGAGCUAUGUCUGGAGAUACAAAGAUAACUACUCUUGUUGAAGAGAUGCCAGUUUAGUGGGGGAGACAGACAUGUAAACAGAUCUGUAUCUGAGAUAGAUGGCCUGGGUAGGAAAAGAAUAUAUAUAGCACAAAUAACUCAGUGGACCUGCAAAAACAGAGCUUGAGGCCAUGAUAUACCACAAAGACCCACCAAGGCACAAGCACUGUCAACAUGAAGGUAAGGCUUCCAUUUUUGCCUCUUUCAAUCUGGGUACAUCUAUUCUACAUACUCUGCCUUUCCUCCUGUUACAGGAAAAGAAGGAACCUCAAUUCUACCUAAAGUCAAUCUUCUCCUUGAGCUAGAGAUCCAGCCCCUCUCCCAUAAUGAGGUACACGGCCCCUACAAAGAUCCACUCUCCUGCAUUAUCAAAUCCUCCCUCCCUGUGGUAUCAUUCCAGUCCACACACACACAUACCUUAACAUCAUCCUCCCUUGACCCUAGGUCCCCCUCCAUCCUCUUCAUCAUUUCUCUGCUUCCCCUCCCAGUGAUACUUUAUCUUCUACAUGUAUUGCUACCCCUAUUCCCUCAGCCUCUAUUCCCUUCUCCCUUGACUCCACUGAAAUGGCUCUUAAAGGACGCCACUAAGCUCUAUCUUGCUACAACCAGGAGUCGAUUUUCUGUUACCUACUGCCCUCUCCCAUCUCCCCUCCUCAUACCGAAAGACUGACUUUUUAAGACUUCCAUGAAAAUGUUGUCCUUGUUUUCUUCCUGCCUCACUGGCAGCUCCUUCCCAGUCUCUUGUAUUCACUUUUCCUUGCCCACCUGCUGUCUGGUCUUCCCUAUAGUCCAUUCUCACACUAGAUCACACUAGAGUUAUCUUUCAAAAAUCUCAACUACCAUCACCUGGUUUAAACCCUUCUAUGGUUUCCCAUCAUCCUUAGAAUUCGACACUAUCAAGUCCCUGUAGGACAUGGCUCCUGUCUAUCUGUCUGCCCUCAUUGCUAAACAUACCUUCCUCCCAACACCCUACAGACUAUCUACCCACCAGAUUUCAGAAACACAUGGCCUUCUUUCUGUUCCUCAAAAACCCCAAGCUAGUUUCUACUUCACAGCCUUUACUCUUGCUGUUCCCUAGCCUGGAACACUUCUCCCUUAGAUUGCUGCAUAGCCAAGCCAACUUCUUGUAAUUCAAGUUUUGGCUCAACUCACUUCCUCAGAAAGGCCUUCCCUGACCGUUCUGCUCAAGUGCUCCUUCCCCAAACUCAACCACUGGCUAGCUUAUUCCCCCAUUCCAAUUUUGUCAAACUAUGACUAGUCAGUAUCACAUUUAUUUCUUUACAUCUCAUUUUUCUCUCUCUCCUACUACAAUGUAAACUGCGUUAAGCAACAACUUAAUCUCGUUUACUGCUAUAUGUCUACUUCCAGGCACAGUGUUUAGUAUAUUGUGGGUGCUCCGUAAACAUUUUACUCAAUGGAUAAAUGAAAUGACGAUGAAAUCCUUGUUUAGAAUCCUGUGUUCAGCUCUUUGCUCUUCAACUGUAGACAUGCACAGAAGCAUAAAGGUGAGACAUAAUAACUAGUGCACAGGGAAAUCAGACCUAUGAAACUAGAACUAGAAUUACUAAGGAAGUGUUAUAUUUUUAUUCUUCAGGGGUAAUCAUUAGUUGUUUUUUAAAUGUCUAAUGAGGAUUAAAUAAAAAGAAAUGGAUUAAAGGUUCAGCAGAUGGGCAAAAGUUCUAGAGUAGAUAAAAUGUGGGUUAGAUUUAUAAAAACACUUCCUGGGACUGACUACUAUUUGAGAUUAUAAUCAGUUCCUGAAGAAGAAUACUGGAUAUCUUUUUAAAACAAAAAGAGAUAACAGUAAUCCUUUAUCAACUGAGUGCUUCCUUUGUACCAAGACCUCUGCUAAGGCUGUUUUACAAGCCUGAUCUCCUUUGACAUUUGUAGCAACCCUAUGAGACAGGUACAGGGAUAGCUGGGAGAUGUCAUGGGUUCAGUUUAUGACCACACAAUAAAGCAAGCCACACAAAUCUUUUGGUUUCUCAGUGCAUAUAAAAAUUACGUUUACACUGUAUGGUAGCCUAUUAAGUGUGCAACAGCAUUAUGUCCAAAAAAAGUACAGAUUAUUAAUUAAAACAUACUUUAUUGCUAAAAAAUGUUAACAAUCAUCUGAGUCUCAAGUGAGUCAUAACCUUUUUGCUGGUGGAGGAUCACGCCUCAAUGUUGAUAGCUGCUGACUGAUCAGGGUGGUGGUUGCUGAAGGCUGGGGUGGCUGUGACAAUUUCUUAAAGUAAGACAAUGAUGAAGUCUGCUGCAUCUAUUGACUCUUCUUUCAUGAAAGAUUUAUCUGUAGCAUACGAUGCUGUUUGACAGCAUUUUUACCAAUAGUAGACCUUCUUUCAAAAUUGAGGUCAAUCCUCUCAAACCCUACUACUGCUUUAUCAACUAAGUUUGUGUGACAGCCUAAAUCUUUUGUUCUAGAAUCUACCAUUUCAACAAUAUUCACUGCAUCUUCACCAGGAGUAGAUUCUAUCUCAAGAAUUCUAUCUUCACUUUCUUUGCUCAUCCAUAAGAAGCAACUCCUCAACCAUUAAAGUUUGCAGCAAUCCAGUCAUAUCUUCAGACUACACUUACUGCUGUUAAUAUUUUGACCACCUCUCACGAAUCACAAAUAUUCUUAAUGGCCUCUAAAUGGUGAAUACUUUCCAGAAGGCUUUCAAUUUGCUUUGCCCAGAUCAGAGGAAUCAAAAGAAUUUGCCAUCAAAGGAAUCACUAUCUAUAGCUAUAAGCUAUAGCCUUACAAAAUGUAUUUCGUAAAUAAGACUGGAAAGUUAACAUGAUUCCUUGAUCCACGGGCUGCAGAAUGGAUGUUGUGUUAACAGGCAUGAAAACAACAUUCAUCUCCUUGUACAGCUCCAUCAUAGCUCGUGGGUGACCAGGUACAUGGUCAAUGAGCAGGAAUAUUUUGAGAGGAGCUGUUUUGUCUCAGCAGUAGGUGUCAGCUGUGGGCUUAAGAUAUUCAGGAAACCAUGCUGUAAACAGAUGUGCAGUCAUCCAGGCUUUGUUGUUCCAUCUACAGAGCACAGGCAGAGUAGAUUUAGCAUAACUCUUAGGGCCCUAGGAUUUUCAAAGUGAUAAAUGAGCACUGGCCUCACCCUAAAGUUACCAGCUACAUUAGCCCCUAACAAGAGAAUCAGAAAUGUCCUUUGAAGCUUUAAAGCCAGGCAGUGACUUCUCCUCUCCAGCUAUUAAAGUCCUGGGUGGCAUCUUCUUCCAAUAGGAGGCUAUUUCAUCUAUCUUGAAAAUCUGCUGCUUAGUGUAGCCACCUUCGUCAAUGAUCUUAGCUAGGUCUUCUGGGUAACUUGCUGCAGCUUCUACACAAGCAGCUGCUGCUUCUUCUUGCAUUUUUAUGUUAUGGAGAUGGCUUCUGUUCUUCAUCUUAUGAAUCAACCUCUGCUAGCUCCAAGAUGAAUCAACCUCUGCUAGCUCUAAGCUUUUGUUUUGCACCUUCCGCACCUCUCUCAGCCUUCACAGAAUUGAAGAGUUAGGGCCUUGCUCCGAAUCAGGCUUUGGCUUUAGGGAAUGUUGUGGCUGGUUUGGUCUUCUAUCCAUACCCACUCAAACUUUCUCCAUAUCAGCAAUGGCUGCUUUGCUUUCUUAUCAUUCCUGUGUUCACUGGAGUGCUUGGACUUUCCUUCAAGAACUUUUCCUUUGCAUUCACAACUUGGCAAACUGUCUUAAGAGGCUUAGCUUUCAGCCUAUCUCAGCUUUCAACAUGCCUUCUUCACUAAGCUUAAUCAUUUCUAGCUUUUGAUUUAAAGUGAGAGAGAUGUGGCUCUUCCUUUCACUUCAACACUUAAAGAGACUACUGUAGGGUUAUUAACUGGCCUAAUUUCAAUAUUGUAUCUCAGGGAAUAGGGAGAUUGGAGGACAGGGAGAGAUGGGGGAACAACCAGUCAGUGGAGCAGUCAGAAUACACACAUUUAUCUAUUAAAUUCUGUCUUCUAUGGGUGUGGUUUGUGAUGUUCCAAAACAAUUACAAUAGUAACAUCAAAAAUCAUCGAUUACAGAUCACUACAAUAGAUAUAAUAAUAAUGAAAAGUUUUGAAAUAUUGUGAGAAUUACCAAAAUGUGACAUAGGCACACAAGUAAGCACAUGCUGCUGGAAAAAUAGGGCCAAAACACUUGUUGAACACGGAGUUGCCAUAACCUUCAGUUGGUAAAAACAAAACAAAAUACCACAGUAUCUGCAAAGUGUAACAAAAAGGGGUAUGCUUGUAGCACUAUUCUCAUUUUAACUUGAAAUGGUCAGAUAGUUGGUAAAUGACCAAGCUGGGACUGAAUUCGGUCCAUUUAACUCUAAAAUCUGUGCUUAACACUUAUGUUUACAAGAGAGAGUUGAGAUGGGCCCUGCUGAGAGCAUGAGAGUUAACUACUUGAAUCUGUACCCAAAUCUAGGAUUCUAACAUAUUUUCAGGAACAGCACAAAGGACACAAUAUAAAGAACAAUUUAAAAUAGUCCUGUGUAAGGUAGAUUCCAUCUUUGAGCUUUUGGUUAUAAAGACAUUUGAAGAACUAGACAAAAUUAUGUGCUUGUGGUUAUCCAUUAUAUAAAUUAUCUCCUGUCAUUCUGAAGGAUUAUUUUAUUUAUAAUCUGAAGACCUACCUUAGGAGGGGGUGGGCUGGGUGUGGUAGCUCAUGCCUGUAAUCCCAGCACUUUGGGAGACCGAGGAGGGCAGAUCACUUGAAUUCAGGAGUUCAAGACAAGCUUGAGCAAUGUGGGGAAACCCCAGCUCUACAAAAAAUACAAAAAUUAGCUGGGCAUGGUGGCACAUGCCUGUAAUCCCAGCGACUCUGAAGGCUGAGGUGGGAGGAUCACCUGAGUCCAGGGAGGUCGAGGCUGCAGUGAGCUGAGAUCACGCCACUGCAUUCCAGCCUGGGUGACAGAGCGAGAGAGACAGAGAGAGAGUCAGCGAGAGAGAGAGAGAGAGAGAGAGAGAGAGAGAAGGAAGGAAAGAAAGAGGAAAGGAAAGGAAAGGAGGAAAAGAGAAGAAAAGAGAAGAAAGGAAAAGAAAAGAAAAGAAAAAAGAAAGGUGGAGGGGAAUCGAGUUUGCAAGUAUCACCAGGUAUGACUAAAACAAUUUCUUGCUCCUUUAAGGUUUUGAACAGAGAUCAGCAAACUAUGGCCUGCGAGCCAAAAAUAAAUUUUAUAUUUUUAAAGUAUUGUUUAGAAAAAGAAUAAUUUGUAACAGAGACUUUAUGUUGCCCACAAGGCCUGAAAUUUUUAUUAUCUGGUCCUUUACCAAAAACAUUUGUUGACCUCUGCUCUAGAUCUUAAAAAUGGGUGCACAAAGUAUGAAAUAGGUGUAAUAGAGAAUAAAGUCCCUAGUUAGAAAAAGCAAUUCCCUAAAGGUUGUUUUUUUUGAGACAAGGGAUCAAGCCAUCCUCCCACUUCGGCCUCCCAAGUAGCUGGGACUACAGGUGCAUGCCAUCACCUCUGGCUAAUUUUUAAAUUUUUUGUAGAGACAGUGUCUUGCUGUGUUGCUGGUCUUAACCUCCUGGCUUCAAGCUAUCCUCCCACUUCGGCCCCCCAAAAGUGUAAGCCACCAUGCCCAGCCCCUACAGGUUUAAGUGUCCAAGGGAUUUUUUUUUUAAUAUCAACAACAAAGAUUCCCAGAGUCAGAUUUUCAAAUGGAUCUAGCCUCCCAACUUAGCAUCAAUGAGAUGAUAUUAGGGGACAAAAAAAGAAAAAGAAGAUGCUGAGAAGCUUGGGGAAGAAUCAGAAUUAUCCAGGUUUAGAGCUGCAAGGAACCGUAUAGAAACUAUGGACCAACGUUCUCUAGCUCCGUAAAUGAAGAAACACCCAGGGACGAGGCAGUGACUUCAGGCUGCGAUGUGUCGGCAUAGCACAGUCCUGUCUCCGGGCUCCUAGGCCACGUCUAUUCUCACUGUGCCAUGAGGCCUUUACCUUAUUACAGAGACAUGCUCUGCAAACCAAGGUGUGGUGGACAGCUUUUUAAAACGUCAGACGAAAACCAGCAGCUCUGCAAAGAAUGUGUGAUCUGAAGGUGAAGUCUCAACCCAUUUUGUUAAGAAAAAUUAAUGUUUCUUUUUUUAUAAUGCUUUUUUGAAUUUCAAAAGUGGUACACAUUCAUUAUAGAAUUUUCAUUAAGAAAAUUAUUUUUCAAUAAGGAAAUUCAAAAAAAGAGAAUAAUUAUUCAUAAUCUCUCCAUCCAAUAAUAAAAUAUUUUCAACAUUUUAUUAUUUCCUUGCAACUUUUUUUUUUUUUUUUGAGACAGAAUCUCACUCUGUCAUCAUCCAGGCUGGAGUACAGUGGCAUGAUCAGGGCUCACUGUAGCCUCGACCUCCCAGGCUCACGGGAUCCUCCUGCUUCAGCUUCCCAAGUAGCUGGGACUACAGGCAUGCUUCACUAUGCUUGGUUAAUUUUUGUAUGUUUUGUAGAGAUAGGGUUUCACCAUGUUGUCCAGGCUGGUCUUGAAUUCCUGGGCUCAAGUGAUCCACCUGCCUUGGCUUCCUGAAGUGAUGGGAUUAUAGGCGUGAACAACUGUGCCUGGCCCUUACAGCUUUUUUAAAAAUGCAGAUACACAUAUGCCAUUUGAAAAAUUAGAAUAUUCCCAGAAGUUUGAGACCAGCCUGGGAAACAUAGCAAGACCCCAUCUCUACAAAAAAAUUUAAAAAUUAGUUGAGCAUGGUGGCACAUGCCUGUAGCCCCAGCUACUAGGGAAGCUCAGGUGGGAGGAUCACUUGAGCCCAGGAGUUCAAAGUUGCAAUAAGCUAUGAUUGUGCCACUGCACUCCAGCCUGGGUGACAAGAGUGAGAAGACCCUGUCUCAAAAAUAAAUAAAUAAGUAAAUAAUUACAGUAUUUUUUUUCACUUAAUGUCAGCAUUUUUGUGUCACGUAAAUUUUCCUAAAACCUUUUAACAUUAUACAAUUCCAUUGUGUGUAUGUAUAAUAAUUUCUGUAACUUCUAGGACGGACCAGCUUAUAGAAAGAAUGUUUUACCUCGCCCUCACCAACAGUGAUUAUGAGCAUUAUUCAAAAUAUUUUUCCAUUUGAUAAGCAUGAAAUGGUUUCUCUUUGUUUCACACUGACGUUGAUCCUUUCUUCACAUGGCAUUUAUUUAUAUGCCAUCUUUUGUGAAUUGUCUAUUCCCAAUGUCACACGUCCUAUUCCCAUUUUUCUUCUGAGGUAUUCAUCUUCUUUUUGAUGAUAAGAGCCAAACAGAAAAGAUUUUAACCUUUUCUUCUAUCACAAAUAUUGUAUGUUUCCCACUUUUCCAUUUGCCUUUUAAUUUUGUCUUUUUAAUUUGUUGUUGUUUUAAUCUUGAAAUGUAGCAUUUCCAGCUAGUCAAAUCCUCUGCAUUUGUCCUUUGUAAUGCCAUAUAAGGGAUGAUCUACCGAAGCUGGCUAAUGACCUAUUAGUUUCUAAAAAGCAGCCAGUGUAAGUCCCCCAAAUCUGCACAGCCUGCAGAGGUUCCACUCAGUGUUGGCCAGAUGGAAGGAAUGUGGAGUAGAAACGCUACCAGAUGGACUAUGAGUCAGGAGGCCCAGAUGCUUGUCCUGGGUUUGCUGCUUGCUUGCUGCAAGUCCUUAGGCAAAUCUCCCAUUCUCUCUGGGUACCAUAACCCUCUGUCAACAAAAUGAAAGGUAUGGACACUACACUCUCAAAAGACACAUCCAUUUCUUUUUUCUUUUUUUUGAGACAGAGUUUUGCUCUGUUGCCCAGGCUGGAGUGCAGUGGCGCAAUCUCGGCUCACUGCAACCUCCGCCUCCCAGGUUCAAGAGAUUCUCCUGCCUCAGUCUCCCGAGUAGCUGGGAUUACAGGUGUGCACCACCAGGCCUGGCUAAUUUUUGUAUUUUUAGUAGAGACCAGGUUUCCCACGUUGGCCAGGCUGAUCUCGAACUCCUGACCUCAGGUGAUCCACCCGCCUCAGCCUCCCAAAGUGCUGGGAUUACAGGUGUGAGUCACUGUGCCCGGCCGACACAUCCAGUUCUAAUGCUCAUUCUUAUUUGACAUGUGAAAGAAGGGAAGUCAGUGCUAGAUGUUCCAGGCUAGUCAGAAUCCACAACCCCAGAGAGACCUGUCAGUGAGAAGAGGGAAGAAGGUGAGAGAUGGUAAAAACGAAUGUCUGACAGGAGAAAACUUGCAGCCCUUUUGACAUGUGGCUUAUAGAAUUUAUUUCAAGUAAAUCAGCAUGAUCUGGAAAGUCAAAGGCAGCAGAGAACCAAAACUGAAAAAGGGCUUACUUCUAGUGCAUAGAUUUUUCCCAGAAAAGGCACCAGGUAAUCUGACUGUGACUUCCUCUAAGCCAGUUGGGGGAUUAUAAAUGUUGGAUAUGGGCAUAAAAGCCAGAAUAAAAAGAUCCAAAAGGGAUGUGGAUGACAAAAGUGGUACAAGUUUUGAUGUAAAAGGGAAAAGCUGUUCAUGAGGGUCAUCAUGUUGAGAGAGAUCUCUUUGAGGGCUGGUAUAGAUCAGAUCAUAAAAACAAAAGGGACAAAAGACAACGAAACUCAAGCAUAGGAGAAGAAAUGGUCUCAAGACAGUUUGGCAGGUUUGUAGUACAGAUGAAAGUGAUGUCCUCUGUCCCGUGGAAAUACCCGCAAACACAAUAUCGUGAAAUAAGAAUAUGUGCUUUGAAGUAUUAAGGUGCUGGCAAGAAAGGCAAGGUGUUAGUUACAUAAUAGUGGCAUUGUGUUGUGGGUGCCACCAACAAAGCCCUGAGUCCAGGUGACACAGGGUCAUGAGAAAUCACAUUAAUGAGCUAAAGUCCUUACCUACCAUUGCUAACUAACUAGUAUUUUAUUUAUGUGUAUUUAACAAUUAUUUUUUCUUGCAUAAAUUAAGUAAUAACACCUGUUUUCUUCACUUUAUUGCUACUUUAGUAGUUAUUUAUCCUUUCCAUUUUAUUUUAGCACUGAUUAAAACAUAAAAUGUCUUUAGGAAAUGUUAUGUCCUAAUUUAUGGUUUAUUUUAAUCUUAGCAGUCAAACACUGAUGACAUUGCAUCUCUUUAAAAAAUUAGCCUAUUAUCACACACCAAUAAAUACAUUCUUUAAAAAAAAAAUCUCAUUCUCAAAUGAGAAGAAACCACAAAGCAAUGAGGCAAUGAAGGAAGAAAAACAAAUCCUGAGUCUUUCACCUGGCCCAACAGGGUGUAUUAAGAGUAAUUAUGGAGUGUAUUAAGAAUCAUUAAAGUAAUAUUUCCUUGGGUUUCUGUGAUGAAGGAUGGCUCAUCUGUUCACUUCCAAUACUUAAUUUUUUCAAGCUUGCUGUCUUUCAUGUAAAUAAAAAGGAAAGAGUAACUUUCCUUUUCCAAAAAACACAGAAGGGCAAAAACUACACUACAAAUAGCUUUUACCCUCAGGCUCAAAGUUCUCAAUAAAUUAAAUCUCCAUUAUUGUUUACUCUGUUGUGGAUACAACUGAAAAAAGAUUAACCGGGUCCCACUUUAGAGAUGAGAAAAUGGGCCCACAGAAACAGCCUAAAUCAAUCUAUAAUACACAAAGAAACAAAGGCCAGCCUUUCCAUCCAAAGGCCUCUCCUGGGAUCUCGGUUCACAGUCUCCAUUCAGGGUUCAACAGCACCCCUUCAGGACUGCACCCUAAGUUUUUAAAGGAGGGAGAUGUGCAGGAAGGAACACUGACCAGGAGCAGGUAACUGAAGCUCAGCCCUAGCUUUAGCCCAUGCUAUUUCUAUGAUCUUGGGAAAGUAAUUUUCAUCUUCCUAUGGCCCCAUUUCCUUCAAUAUAAAAUGGAGAUAAUAUUUACACCUACUGCCUCAGUGUUUAUAAAGUUCAAAUGGAGGAAAGGGCUCUUUUCAAAAUACAGGCCACCUGUGUUAUUUAUGAAUUUAAAAUAGAAGAAUAAAGCAACUAAAAUAAUGAUUUUUAAACUUACAUCAUCCUCUCAUUCAUGAAUUUCAUAAACUCAUCUCCUUAAAGUGCUACAUGGCAUACAUGUAAGAAUAAACAUAAUUUUUUAUUUCAAUUAUUUGUUUUAAUCAACUAAGAGAACUAUUUUGUGUGUAUGUAUAAUAUUGACAUUUUAUGGUAAGGAAAAUUAUAAUGUGGCACAAAUAGCAUAUCAAUUCUUUUCUUAAAGUGUUGAUAAACCAAAAAACUGUCAAUAUGCUAAUAAUAAAGUUGCAUUUUGCUCUAAAUUAAAUGUACACUUUCGAUUUAAGAUUUUAUUCACAAAAUAAACAGUACCACUGCAUAAAAAAAUUACAUGAUGAUAUAAAAUACUAUGUGAAGGAGUUGGCAAAUUAUGUUUAUAGCUGUUCUUUAAACCUAGACAAUUCUAAUCUAGAAUUCGAUCUAAAAAUAAGAUACUUCUGCAUUUUUAACCCUUAAAAAAUUGUCCAUUCAAUACUACUCAUUAAAGCAAAAAAGAAAAAAAUUUUUCAACUUACAUACAAAAAUUCCAUGAGUUUUAAAAUAAUAAGAAAGUGUGCUAUAACCUACCGAUUACUUUGAAUAAAGGAUAUUUAUCAACAAUUACACUGGGUAAAAACGUUCCUUUCUCUGAAACCCUGGAGGAGCAAUGUUUAAUGAGAAAGAAUUAUUUAUGCCUACAAACACAGAACUGUAAUAGGUAGUUUUAAUGUAACACAUCACAGCAGUAGAUGCAGGCGGCCAGAAACGUGUUACCUGGUUUUGACUUAUACCCAAUUUCCAAGACCAGACUAAGACUUUGUAAACAGCAGGGGCUUUUAGUUUUGUUUUUCCUUAUUAUUGAUAGUGGAUGGCAACAAUAUUUGUGCUGACGGGGUCUUUGGGAGGAAUACUGAGGUUCUCCCUUUUCCUGAGGAAAAUGAGGUCUCACUCAUCUCCUAUUUGCCAGGACUAGUGAUCUCAGCACAUGCUUUGUUCUUUUUUCUCUCUGUUUAAGUGCUGGUAGUAAUUUAGUGAUUUCAAUCAUUGCUACAUUCAUUUUGGAAUAAUAAAGUGAUGUUAGGAGAUUCCUGUCAUUGCGAAGACAGGUUUUAGGAGGAAAAGGAUCUAUAGUUAGUCAGUUUUGCUACCAAGAGUAGCCUUUGGUACACUGAAAUCAAAUUAACUACAAAAACAUCAGGGAUACGUGUGGGGAUGGAGCUAGCUGUGGGGAGAUGAGCACUGAACCCAAACCAGUCUGGGCCAGAGGAAAACUCUACAGUCUCAUCAUGCAACAAAACAGGGAAAUUGGUUUUAGCGUUUUUAACUUUAAUUAGUCACAUUAAUUAAUGCUAAAAACCAAUGUUAACAGUAUAUUAUUUUCAUCUAGUUAAAUAAAGGAUUACACACAUUUGAGUAAAUUACACAGCAUUAAACAUUUCGAUAACUUGAAAUGAAGCCAUUACUGUCAUUCAAACAAGUUUCCACAGCUAAAGGCUGAAUGUUAAGUAUGAACUGAUUUGGCAUUACAAGAAUAUAAAUCCUUUAUCUUUUUACUGAGAAGAAAAAAUGAAGAGAUUCGAUGACUUCUGACUUGAAUAAGUGGUUUGCAGUAGCACAGCGCCCUCCAGUGGCCAAAUUUCAAAAUGCAGUUUCAAAGGACAAAGUUCAGUAGCAAAUCUUUUCAUGUUGAAUGGUGUUAAGCUGGUAACAUUAGCUCCUUUUUCUUUUCUCUUUUAAUAUAAUUGUUUAUCUCAGCACAUAUUUUCAAUAUCAAACCAUUUUUCUAUUGCCAAAUUUCCCUCACCAAAUUAAAAUUCUUCUAUUCAAAUCUGAUUUGUUUUCCCUCAGAAAUAUUCUGAAAAGUAAAAAAGAAAUCAAAGCGAAACAAAACAAACCUAAUGUGGACACAGACAACUGCAAUGAGAGGGAAUUCUCUAUACGCCUCAGAUAAUGGCGAAUGCCAGCACUAGAGUAGUAGUAAUGAAUUCUUAAGUGUUAAAAUCCAAACUCCAGAGUAAGAUUAUACAAAUUAUGGAACUCUAUUUUGCCUGAUAUACAUCAUGAUGAGUACAUAUGGUGAGUUCAAAGUUGUAAGCAUAUCUUUUACUCAUUUUUUCUAUAUGUGAACAUUUCUGUUUUUAAAUAACAGUAUAAAAGAUUUCACUGUAUGCACAUUCUUUCACUAUUACAACUCCUAUUAAAAUGGAUCCAAAUAUUUUUCUGUGGAAGUAGGAAAAGAUAACCCUUUGGUUACCUUUGCAGAUUACCAGAAAAGCUCCCUUAGGCCAAUCUAAAAUACUCCUAUUCUUGAAAAGACAUUGAUUUCUCACAAUGAAAAGAGAUCAUAAUUCCACUUUUAAUAACUACUGCCAUAGAGUAAACACUUAUAAUAUUCUUGGUCUGCCAAAUAAAUACUGCAAGGCAUCUGGGGGCAUACAAGCAUUGCCCCGGAUCCUAUACCAAAUAGUUACUAGGUAGCAUGAGGGAGUUUGCUAUCAAAAGGAUAAUAAUAACUAGCUAUUUUUUCCCUUUUCUGCCUACCCAAAGAAUAGAAAAGUUUAAGCAUGUUUUAAAGAAUCAUACCUUUCACCGAAACCGACAAAGCAACUCUAUAUAAUGUCAAGAACAAUGGCUGUGGCCUUGCAUCUUGUUUCCACCGCUACAGAUCAAAACAGGCAAAUAACAUCUCUGUGUUUCGUUUCUUCAUCUAUGAAAUGAAGAUAAUUGUUCCCAUCUCAUGGGAAUGUGGUGAGGAUUCAUUGUAAUGAUGCAAAUGAAAUAACUAAGCCUGACUGCCUGAAACUCACACGGGAGAUCUUCAAAGAAUGUUAGUUCUCUUCUCCAUCUAUUCUUACCAACAAAAGAAUGCAGAAGACCUAUUUUCACCAGAAGGAGGACUGGAACCAGAGUUAGCAGGUAUGGAGUCACAUGGGUGAAUCAAUAAAACCCACUCAAAAUUUCAUCUAUGAAAAACCUGUCCUUCUUUAUUAUACAUUAGAAGACCCAAAGAUGGUUCUGGAAGCAAACACACUGAAUUCUGGAAAGGGGAGGAAAAGGAACAGAAUUGGCAUUUGUUAUGUGCUUCAUGUGCUACUGGUUGCACCCAGCUUUUCUAUACAUAAUCGUAUUACUUAAGGCACCACAGAACUCUAUACAGCAGUUAGAACUGUGAUGGAACCAGUGAGGCUGGCUUCCUCUUAUCCAAGUAUGACUGGAGGACAGGGCUCAAAUGACCGUGCAGGUGCAUCUGGGCGGGGGGGCGGGGGUAUAACAAUGAAGAGGAGGUGCAAUAACAGCCCCGUGGGGAUGAUGACAGACAGAAUAUGCUCAUGAAUAAGAAUGUCUUACUUAUCCCAUCUUAAUUACUUUCUUCUGUCUCUUUCUUCAUGUUUAAGUAUUAAGAGCAGUGAGGUGGUAAGAAAUGGUAUGGGAGUCAUAUCAGAAUCCUUUGGAGAGAAGAGAUGGGCACAUGUGUCAUCUAAAAAAGCAUUUUCAAAAUUAUAAUAAAAUACACAACAUUUGCAAAGCAGGCUUUCUGCCCGUUGUGACCGUGAAAACAAAGCAGCUGAAGAGGCCUGAUGUGAAAGUGACCUCCUCUGUGCUCUGUCACUGGCAAGAACAGGAAAAACACUUGGGGCAAGCAAGCCAGCCCCACUUUCACACAUGACUCACACGACUGAAGGAAAG
RNAcentral lists this long non-coding RNA (15244 nucleotides) under Homo sapiens (human). RNAcentral describes it as "HSALNT0105770". The record is from RNAcentral. Lineage: Eukaryota; Metazoa; Chordata; Mammalia; Primates; Hominidae.